RNAcentral lists this long non-coding RNA (292 nucleotides) under Lathyrus oleraceus (garden pea). RNAcentral's name for it is "Pisum sativum (pea) long non-coding RNA (PSAT_LNC034126)". Lineage: Eukaryota; Viridiplantae; Streptophyta; Magnoliopsida; Fabales; Fabaceae. The record is from RNAcentral.
AAAACCAAAACCAUUGCCAUUUUUAUUGUUUUUGAAAAAAAAUGAAAACAAAAAAUAGAAAGACAGGGAUCACAAAGUUUGAUUUCAAAAAAUGUCCUUCAUUAAUGAUAAUCAUUAAAACAUGAUGAGGCCCUACAAUGAAUCACUACGCCUUGGGCAGAUCGUAGGAUUUUCAUGCAAAAUGACAAAACAACAGAAAAUUACUCUGUCAGAAGAGUAACUUGAACCACUUCUUCAGCCGUCCAGUUGUUGAUAGACCCCCCUGGUGCACACGGGCGAACCCAGUUGUCCA